AGCUUUGCGCAGUGGCAGUAUCGUAGCCAAUGAGGUUUAUCUGAGGCACGAUUAUUGCUAAUUGAAAACUUUUCCCAAUACCCCACCAUGACUACUUGAAAUACAGUCAGCGUUGGCAAUUUUUGGCAGUCUCUACGGAGA
Small nuclear RNA from Aotus nancymaae (Ma's night monkey), 141 nucleotides. Its record names the gene U4. It matches the Rfam family "U4 spliceosomal RNA". From Rfam's summary of the family: U4 small nuclear RNA (U4 snRNA) is a component of the major U2-dependent spliceosome. The structure of U4 snRNA from yeast and human has been reported. U4 snRNA presents a k-turn RNA motif in the 5p-SL related to recognition of Snu13 protein. The record is from Ensembl. NCBI's taxonomy places the organism in Eukaryota, Metazoa, Chordata, Mammalia, Primates, Aotidae.